This is a non-coding RNA of Triticum urartu, 2103 nucleotides long. Lineage: Eukaryota; Viridiplantae; Streptophyta; Magnoliopsida; Poales; Poaceae. The record is from RefSeq and is a predicted model, not a curated record.
UCGUUGACCCCUGGCCUCUCUCUCAAACUGCCUCAUCCAUCCCCGCCGAAGCGAUCGCCGAGUGUUCGACGAGUGCCUGAGCGGAGUUCAUCGCCGCAAGCAUAAAGCUACCCACCUCGCGGAGUUCGUUCCCCGGCGCGUCGACGCUGGAAGAAUGCCAGUCCGGGAGCUUCAUCUUGUUUGGACCUUUGAACGACUAGUUUGAAGAAUUCAUCGCAUGAGUUUGCUCUUCUCAUUUCUCAGUACUGAAGAUUGGCCCAUCGGCUCAUCUUGAUACAUAUGGAGCGGGAUCACUCGGCUUUGAAGAAAAUGAGAUUGGACGACACAGAAGAUUCUGCGAUCAGUCAAGUGCCUGCCAUGGCGUCUAGUAUGAAUCAGCAACUGUUCUGGAGCCAGUGGCAGCUACUGGAUUCCAUUCUCCCCACAGGCGGUUUCGCACACUCCUACGGCCUGGAAGCAGCUAUGCAAUCGCGCAUAGUGAACAACCAGGAAGACCUGAGGCUGUUCCUCAUCCAGGUCGUGGACAACAUUGGAAGCCUGCUGCUUCCAUUUGUGUACUGCGCCAGUAGGUCUCCUGACGCCGCGGCAUGGGUCAAGCUAGAUCAGCUGCUGGACGCUACAUUGACGAACGAGGUCGGCAGGAAGGCAUCCACAUCCCAAGGCUCGGCUCUGUUGAGGGUGGCCGCGUCUGUCUUCACUGAGAUCCAGUCGCUGCAGGAUCUCCGACGGACAUUUCUCGGUUCCACGAGCGUGUCCUUUCACCAUGCCCCGAUAUUCGGGUUGAUAUGUGGGCUGGUUGGAUUUGAUAGCGAGACAACACAACGCGCUUACAUGUUUGUGGCAAUGAGGGAUGUGAUCUCUGCCGCGACGAGGCUCAAUUUGAUCGGACCGCUAGCUGCUUCGGUUCUGCAGCACCAGGUUGCGCCAGAUGCCGAGAAGAUGCUGCAAAAGUGGAGGGACCGUGAUGUCUCUGAAGCAUCACAGACUGCGCCGCUGCUUGACGCAUUGCAAGGCUGCCAUGCUUACAUGUUCUCUAGGCUGUUUUGCUCCUAAUAGUGAGGUUGCUGAAUGCAAUUUGGUGUAGUUCUGCUCAUGGUUUUACCUCAGAGAAGUACAGGACCCCUGGCUUUACUAAACAACAAUGGCAUCAGAAGAUUACAAGCAUCCUGAGGAAAGAUGCCCAGUAUAAUUCUUUAUUUUACUUGCAAGCAAGAUUGUACAAAAAUGCCAAUAGUACAUUAUGUUCAUGUUGCUGAAUGUAAUUUGGUGUACUUCUGCUCACAGUUUUACCCCGGAGAGUAGAGAACUACUGGCUUUUCCUAAAGAAAAAUGGCAUCAGAAGAUUGCAAGCACCCCGAGGACAGAUGCCCAGUACGAUUCUAUAUUUGCAGGCAAGAUUGUACAACAAUCUAUUACACUCAUCAUACAUAGGAUACAUCUAUCUUUAGCUUCACCAAAUACAACAAUUAUAAUUCUGUGUCCCAUAUUAUGUUCAUGUGUGAAUGCUUUCUUAGCAUAGCAUACACUCACUGUAACAAAUGUAAGACAUUCUGGCAGUUUAAAUACAUUUGUUUACAGAGGAAGUAGAUCUCAACAGCUCGGAGAAGUUGACCUUGCCAAACCCACCGCAGCUACCAUUCUGGUACUCUUGCCCAGUCUCGUCCUCCAUGGACCUGAUCCUUUGGAUCUCUCCAAGAACAAGGUUGGCCUGAACAUAAUAUAAUAGCUGAUGCAGUUAGAUUUGGAUCACAGAGACUAGAUAAACAUAGCAAAGAUGCUGUCCUAAGUCAGUAGGGCACUGAACCUCAAGUUACUGAAUUAUAGCAUAAAUACUAGUAGUACUAUCUGCUGAACCAAAAUAAAGUUGGAUUCUUUGGCCUUUUACUAUUCAAGGAGCUUUAUUCCCCUUUAAGUUGUCACAAUCUUUAUAAAGAUGCAUCAUGACCUUCACUAUCAUAUGGCUCGUAUGACCAAAACCAAGAUUUGAUACCUUACGCACGCACCGUGUGAUGCAGAACUCAAAAUCGGUUCUUCUUUAUUUUACUUGCAAGCAAGAUUAUACAACAAUGCCAACAGUACAUUUUGUUCAUGUGUGAGCCGAGC